RNAcentral lists this transfer RNA (74 nucleotides) under Thalassobathia pelagica (pelagic brotula). RNAcentral's name for it is "tRNA-Leu (UUR)". It matches the Rfam family "tRNA". Rfam says of the family: Transfer RNA (tRNA) molecules are approximately 80 nucleotides in length. Their secondary structure includes four short double-helical elements and three loops (D, anti-codon, and T loops). Lineage: Eukaryota; Metazoa; Chordata; Actinopteri; Ophidiiformes; Ophidiidae. The record is from RNAcentral.
GUUAAGGUGGCAGAUCCCGGCCAUUGCAAAAGACCUAAGCCCUUUCCAAAGAGGUUCAAAUCCUCUCCUUAACU